UACGUAGGGGGCUAGCGUUGUCCGGAAUCAUUGGGCGUAAAGAGCGUGUAGGCGGCCCGGUAAGUCCGCUGUGAAAGUCGGGGGCUCAACCCUCGAAUGCCGGUGGAUACUGUCGGGCUAGAGUGCGGAAGAGGCGAGUGGAAUUCCUGGUGUAGCGGUGAAAUGCGCAGAUAUCGGGAGGAACACCAAUUGCGAAGGCAGCUCGCUGGGACGUGACUGACGCUGAGACGCGAAAGCGUGGGGAGCAAACAGG
RNAcentral lists this ribosomal RNA (253 nucleotides) under uncultured bacterium. Its description in RNAcentral is "partial 16S ribosomal RNA". It matches the Rfam family "Bacterial small subunit ribosomal RNA", at positions 524 to 776 of the family's 1533-position model. The record is from RNAcentral.